Molecule: RNA transcript, 3064 nt
Organism: Triplophysa rosa
Lineage: Eukaryota; Metazoa; Chordata; Actinopteri; Cypriniformes; Nemacheilidae
Gene: egfl7
Gene name: EGF-like-domain, multiple 7
Exons: 8
Source: RefSeq, a predicted model, not a curated record
CGGAUCGCGGGGAGCAUCGAGACUCGAGCUGCUCUUCGUCAGACAGAAGAAGAGUUUAUAAGAAAUGCUGGCGAUGGAGAAGCGCGCCAGUGCGCGCGACAGGUGGAUCGCAUGGCAACAGCUCGAGAUCACGUGACCUUAUUAUACGAGGGUAGCUGGUGUCAUCGGCUCAGGUGUACCUGAGUGUGUCUAAGGGAGCAGACACACCUGUGAUAGAGAACGAGAGAUGUACACAACAGUCCUGCUGUCCUCUCUGUUUCUCCUGCAUGUGACCAGCACGCCUCCGUUUCACGGUCACCAUGGGAGGAGAGUGUGUCUUGGAGAUGCCCGGAGUCCUCGUGUACCCUACAGCACAGAGUCGUUCCUUCAACCUGUACACAAACCCUAUAUCACCAUGUGCCAAAACCACCGCCUGUGUAGCACAUACAAAACAAUCUACAGAGUGUCUUAUAGGCAAGUGAGCAAAGCGGUUGCUCAUGUCCACAUGUACUCAGACUGCUGUCCGGGAUGGAGACGCAUGCAUUCACACAACUGUAACCAAGCUGUGUGUGAACAGUCUUGUGCAAAUGGAGGAUCGUGUCUGCGCCCUAACCAAUGUGUGUGUCCAAAAGGAUGGACGGGACGGUACUGCCAGACAGAUGUGGACGAGUGUAAAGAAACUCGCGGCUGCUCACAGAAGUGUGUGAAUACACCGGGGGGGUAUCAGUGUGUGUGUCGGGAGGGAUUCAGUCUGAAUGAAGACGGAAUGACAUGUUCAAGAAUUCCCACGCCCUCCCCCCCGCCCGCCACUCCUCCCACGGGAGACAAUCUCUCAUCCAGCGCUGAUGCUGGUUUGAAAUUGGUGGAGAAUGCAACAGAAGAGGUUCAGAUGCUGAAGAAUAGAGUGGAUCUACUAGAGCAGGUCGGAUGGUCACACGCACGCACGCACGCACGCACGCACACACACACACACACACACACACACACUAACAAAAACGCAUGCACACACGGUCACACACACACUAACAAACACACACGGUCACACAUGUCUGGUUUAUUAUCUCCGUGGGGACAGUCCAUAGGCGUAAUGAUUUUUAUACUGUACAAACUGUAUAUUUUAUCCCCUAAACCUAAAGAUCAUAGAAAACUUUUUGCAUUAUUAGAUUUUCAAAAAAUAUCGUUCUGUAUGAUUUAUAAGCUUUUUUGGCCAUGCGGACCUGUGACAUGAGUCCUCAUGAGUUGGUGUGUAUUCAGGUUUAGGUACUGUGUAUACAUAGAAACAAGGCCACACAUUACACAAACACACACACACACACGCGCACACACACACACGCACACACACACACACGCACGCACACACACACACACACACACACACACACGUUGAAGUACUUCAAACGCUGGUAAACUGUACUUUGUUUACCAGAAAAACGCAUGAGUUCAAAGCCUCUUAAUGGUUAAUAAUUAAUGGUUUCAAUAAAAGCAGUGGUAACACACAUUAAAGGUUCUGCAACACGCAACAGACUCCUACAGGUGUCUGUUAAACCGUACGUAUCUGACGGCCACACAAAGGCUGUGUCUAUCCAGAAGACGCGUGGGCACUGAGGUGCAUCUCUGUAAAAUAAUGAAUUACUUGCACAUAACAAAAUAUAAUUUGUGCAAAAUGUUAAGAAAUGGUUUACAGUGAAUUUAGAACAUUCUAAGGAGCAUUGUUAGGCAUGAUGCAGCGGACCAGCAGCGUUUCUAAUUGAUUAAGUCUGUAGUUUACAGAAGUUAUGUUUAUCGAGCCUACAUUUUUUAACCUUUAUUUUAAUGCCGAACGUUUUUAUAAGCAACUGCCAAAUGUUAGUCAAUAGUAAAAAUACUAUACUGUAGUAUAGCAUGUUAAAUGAUUACUAUUGUAUACUAUAGUAUCCUGUAAUAUUAACAAUAAUAUAUUGAUAAACUGUAGUAAAUACAGUAGUAUACUUCGUUACAUAGUAAGGUUAAAACAUACAGGAAUAAAAAAUAUAUGGUGUAUAGGAAUUUUACAGUUAACUAUAGUAAACUCUGCAGUUUACUAGAAUAUUUUUUGGUUGUUUGUGGAAAAUUGGUACUGGCCAAAAAAUUAUAAAUCAUAUGUGUGCAUAAAUACAUACUAUGUACUGUAUACUACCCCAUUAUGUGAAUUAGUAUGCAGUAAACACCUGAAACACUUUUUAAAAUGCUACAUUGUUGUCACGUGACCUCAUUAUGUAUGUUUGUUUAAGUAAGUGAGUUCAGUUAUCGCCUCAUUUGACAUUUGCAUACAGUGGAUUUGCAUAGCUUACCGAGCACAGUACUGUAUACAUACUACAUACUGUUAAUAAUACGAGUGGUGAACAUACCUAAUGUUGACUCUCAUACCUGCCAUGACUUUCAAUUCUGAAACUUUCUCUCUGUAGAAAUUGGAGAUGGUUUUAGCUCCGUUCACAACUCUCUUCCCGGUGAACGGAGUGGGGGGUGUAGGAGACAGUAACGGCUUCCUGUCCGACCGCACCAACUUCCUGUCACAUUCACUGCAGCAACUAGACCGCAUCGACUCGCUCAGUGAGCAGGUUGGAUUUCUGGAGGAACGGAUCGGAGCCUGUGCCUGCCAAGAAAAUUAAACAAUCACUUAAAGAUGGGCUGGAUCCUCUCACGUGAAAACAACAGCUCGCUCAUUUCCACCAACAAGCUCAGCGCUGAUCAAAGUCUAAACCAUGUAAACACUUUAAAUCCAUCCAAAUGUUGAAGACAGACAUUACUGUUCGGGCAAAGUGGAGUGCAUCCAGUUUUACAGAGUCUGACCUGGUGCUUCGAUUCUUUUUUUUUUUUAAUGUUUUUGUAUUUCAUUUAAUUCUUUUUGUAAGUGCAGCUGUAUCGUUUCUCCUUGUGUAUGUAUGAGCCAGGAGAAUGUAAAUUUAUAUAUUUAUAAUUCCAUGUUUUUCUCCUAGGUAUUGCUGUUGAUGAAAACAAGUGUGCUAAUUUUCAUUUUUAUAGUUGCACUUUUUGUAAUAAAAUUACGUCUAAAAACUUUUAAUGUCUCCAGCAUGUGUGGAAGUUGUAAGAAUUAUUGACAGAAGAA